Small nuclear RNA from Anolis carolinensis (green anole), 124 nucleotides. Its record names the gene U2. It matches the Rfam family "U2 spliceosomal RNA". Rfam says of the family: U2 is a small nuclear RNA (snRNA) component of the spliceosome (involved in pre-mRNA splicing). Lineage: Eukaryota; Metazoa; Chordata; Lepidosauria; Squamata; Anolidae. The record is from Ensembl.
AUCGAUUCUCGGCCUUUUGGCUAAGAUCAAGUGUAGUAUCUGUUGUUAUCAGUUUAUGCAGUAUAAAUCUCAUACUGAAUUUCUGCCAAGUUUUUACUAUUACUUUUAAGGUGGGGGAUUUUAA